Molecule: ribosomal RNA, 494 nt
Filed under: uncultured bacterium
Lineage: Bacteria
Description: bacterial SSU rRNA
Rfam family: Bacterial small subunit ribosomal RNA
Source: RNAcentral
UCCUGGCUCAGGAUGAACGCUAGCGGCAGGCUUAAUACAUGCAAGUCGUGGGGCAGCAUGAGUAGCAAUACUUGAUGGCGACCGGCAAACGGGUGAGGAACACGUACACAACCUUCCUUCAAGCGGGGAAUAGCCCAGAGAAAUUUGGAUUAAUACCCCAUAAUAUAUUUGAUAAGGCAUCUUAUUAAUAUUAAAGCUUCGGCACUUGAUGAUGGGUGUGCGGCUGAUUAGAUAGUUGGCGGGUAACGGCCCACCAAGUCUACGAUCAGUAGCUGAUGUGAGAGCAUGAUCAGCCACACGGGCACUGAGACACGGGCCCGACUCCUACGGGAGGCAGCAGUAAGGAAUAUUGGACAAUGGACGAAAGUCUGAUCCAGCCAUGCCGCGUGAAGGAUUAAGGUCCUCUGGAUUGUAAACUUCUUUUAUAUGGGACGAAAAAGGGCAUUCUUGUUCACUUGACGGUACCAUAUGAAUAAGCACCGGCUAACUCCGUG